RNAcentral lists this long non-coding RNA (1383 nucleotides) under Brassica rapa (field mustard). RNAcentral describes it as "long non-coding RNA (BRAP_LNC004453)". The record is from RNAcentral. Lineage: Eukaryota; Viridiplantae; Streptophyta; Magnoliopsida; Brassicales; Brassicaceae.
UUUAGUCGUCUUUGAUGUUGUAUUCCUCGUCGUUGGUUUACCGUCAAUAGUCCUUGUUCGUCUUUGUUUUCAAGAUCUAGUUUUUGGGGAUCUUGACUUAUAUGCUCUCUUUCAUAGCUCGAGGACAGCUUCACAGUUUGCUGAUUUUGUUUUGUCUCCCUUUUCCUCUCUGUUUUCUCAUCGCGUUGCAGCUUUCAUUACUGCUUGCAUCUCUUGUAGGUCUCUCUUUCACCAUGCUUACCACUCCAGGUUGGAUAAUGUUUUCGUAUGUGUGUAUGCUAUGUGGAUUUUGAAGGUUAUUUAUGGUCUCAAACUUAUUAUCUGAUUUCACGAUGGUUGGUUUCGAUUAUCCCUCCCUCAGGUUGUUUCUCUUCUUCCCAUGUUUCCUUUGGUAUAGGUGUGUGGAGUUAGUCUCUUGGAGCUUUGGUCACUCUAUCAAAACUUUGUGUUUAUUCACUUGCAUGUGCGCCUUGUCUGUUAUUAUUUAGUUUGUGAGAUGUUUCUUACAUUUUUGCUAGUGGUUGUGCUUCUAGUACUUUAGACAUGCAUCUUCCGGCUUCUUGGUGACUUUGGCCUUCCCAUUAUUAUUCCCCCUCUCAUCUGUUUUUUUGGUUCUUUGCGUAGGUGCUUGAUCGCGCUUAUUUUUGUUCUGGAGAUUGUUUUGUUUCAGAUUUUAUCUUUUUAUCCUUUUUUUUAUUUUUACUUGUUCUUGCGAAACACUUUAUGGUAAUAUGAGGUAAGUUAGUCUUCGUUCUUGAUCUCCUUUCAGCUCUAAACCUCUAUUGAAUUAGUGUUACUAUGAAAUUUUGUUUUCCUAGUGAUAAUGGAGGUUUUAGAUUUUAAUUUUGUGUUGUUUUCUAGCUUCUUAUUUUUAGUUUGGUUAUUUUAUAAUUUUAAUAGUAAAAUAAAUAUAUAAUCUGUAAAAGAAAUAAUAGAAAUAGUAAAAAAUGAUAAAAUGAUGAAAGUUUAUGCUAUUUUUAGUUGUGAAUAAAGUAAAUAUUUAAAAUAUAUUUAUAUUAUUUUAUUUAUUUUCUAAAUUUUAGUGACCAAUAAAAUAGAUUCUCAAACUAUAAUGAUACUUAAUGUGAGAAUUAUUAGAUAAUGCACAAUUAGAAAGUGAUAGGACAAAUUGUAAUAAUUUAAAAGAAACAGGAUCUAAAAUACAAAAAGAAAAAACAUGUGGACACAUGUCAACAAACCCCUCUUACAAAGUCAGUAUGAAACUGUAAAAGCUGAUGACAAAAAAAAAAAAAAAAAAAAACCUCUCUUCCACAUGUUAUAAGAAGAGAACAAAGUCUACUUUAUAUAUAUAGAUCUUCUUUAAAUAUGUUAAUAGAAAUUUAUAUAUAUUUACUUACAUAUACACUUUUUUUAAUUCUCGCC